This 253-nucleotide ribosomal RNA is filed under the name uncultured bacterium. Its description in RNAcentral is "partial 16S ribosomal RNA". It matches the Rfam family "Bacterial small subunit ribosomal RNA", at positions 524 to 776 of the family's 1533-position model. The record is from RNAcentral.
UACGUAGGGUGCAAGCGUUGUCCGGAGUUAUUGGGCGUAAAGAGCGUGUAGGCGGCUUGGCAAGUCUGCUGUGAAAACUCGAGGCUCAACCUCGAGCUGUCGGCGGAAACUGCUUGGCUAGAGUCCGGAAGAGGAGAGUGGAAUUCCUGGUGUAGCGGUGAAAUGCGCAGAUAUCAGGAAGAACACCUAUGGCGAAGGCAGCUCUCUGGGACGGUACUGACGCUGAGACGCGAAAGCGUGGGGAGCGAACAGG